AGGGAAGCGGGUGCUAUAAUGCAGUCGAGCGAAUGGAUUAAGAGCUUGCUCUUAUGAAGUUAGCGGCGGACGGGUGAGUAACACGUGGGUAACCUACCCAUAAGACUGGGAUAACUCCGGGAAACCGGGGCUAAUACCGGAUAAUAUUUUGAACUGCAUAGUUCGAAAUUGAAAGGCGGCUUCGGCUGUCACUUAUGGAUGGACCCGCGUCGCAUUAGCUAGUUGGUGAGGUAACGGCUCACCAAGGCGACGAUGCGUAGCCGACCUGAGAGGGUGAUCGGCCACACUGGGACUGAGACACGGCCCAGACUCCUACGGGAGGCAGCAGUAGGGAAUCUUCCGCAAUGGACGAAAGUCUGACGGAGCAACGCCGCGUGAGUGAUGAAGGCUUUCGGGUCGUAAAACUCUGUUGUUAGGGAAGAACAAGUGCUAGUUGAAUAAGCUGGCACCUUGACGGUACCUAACCAGAAAGCCACGGCUAACUACGUGCCAGCAGCCGCGGUAAUACGUAGGUGGCAAGCGUUAUCCGGAAUUAUUGGGCGUAAAGCGCGCGCAGGUGGUUUCUUAAGUCUGAUGUGAAAGCCCACGGCUCAACCGUGGAGGGUCAUUGGAAACUGGGAGAUUUGAGUGCUG
This 633-nucleotide ribosomal RNA is filed under the name Bacillus sp. (in: firmicutes). RNAcentral describes it as "bacterial SSU rRNA". It matches the Rfam family "Bacterial small subunit ribosomal RNA", at positions 33 to 651 of the family's 1533-position model. The record is from RNAcentral. Lineage: Bacteria; Bacillati; Bacillota; Bacilli; Caryophanales; Bacillaceae.